RNAcentral lists this ribosomal RNA (568 nucleotides) under Saccharomyces cerevisiae (brewer's yeast). RNAcentral describes it as "partial large subunit ribosomal RNA". It matches the Rfam family "Eukaryotic large subunit ribosomal RNA", at positions 83 to 666 of the family's 3401-position model. The record is from RNAcentral. Lineage: Eukaryota; Fungi; Ascomycota; Saccharomycetes; Saccharomycetales; Saccharomycetaceae.
GUACGGCGAGUGAAGCGGCAAAAGCUCAAAUUUGAAAUCUGGUACCUUCGGUGCCCGAGUUGUAAUUUGGAGAGGGCAACUUUGGGGCCGUUCCUUGUCUAUGUUCCUUGGAACAGGACGUCAUAGAGGGUGAGAAUCCCGUGUGGCGAGGAGUGCGGUUCUUUGUAAAGUGCCUUCGAAGAGUCGAGUUGUUUGGGAAUGCAGCUCUAAGUGGGUGGUAAAUUCCAUCUAAAGCUAAAUAUUGGCGAGAGACCGAUAGCGAACAAGUACAGUGAUGGAAAGAUGAAAAGAACUUUGAAAAGAGAGUGAAAAAGUACGUGAAAUUGUUGAAAGGGAAGGGCAUUUGAUCAGACAUGGUGUUUUGUGCCCUCUGCUCCUUGUGGGUAGGGGAAUCUCGCAUUUCACUGGGCCAGCAUCAGUUUUGGUGGCAGGAUAAAUCCAUAGGAAUGUAGCUUGCCUCGGUAAGUAUUAUAGCCUGUGGGAAUACUGCCAGCUGGGACUGAGGACUGCGACGUAAGUCAAGGAUGCUGGCAUAAUGGUUAUAUGCCGCCCGUCUUGAAACACGGAC